AUUGAACGCUGGCGGCAGGCCUAACACAUGCAAGUCGAACGGUAGCACAGAGAGCUUGCUCUCGGGUGACGAGUGGCGGACGGGUGAGUAAUGUCUGGGAAACUGCCCGAUGGAGGGGGAUAACUACUGGAAGCGGUAGCUAAUACCGCAUAACGUCGCAAGACCAAAGUGGGGGACCUUCGGGCCUCACACCAUCGGAUGUGCCCAGAUGGGAUUAGCUAGUAGGUGGGGUAAUGGCUCACCUAGGCGACGAUCCCUAGCUGGUCUGAGAGGAUGACCAGCCACACUGGAACUGAGACACGGUCCAGACCCCUACGGGAGGCAGCAGUGGGGAAUAUUGCACAAUGGGCGCAAGCCUGAUGCAGCCAUGCCGCGCGUAUGAAGAAGGCCUUCGGGUUGUAAAGUACUUUCAGCGGGGAGGAAGGCGGUGGAGUUAAUAACUUCACCGAUUGACGUUACCCGCAGAAGAAGCACCGGCUAACUCCGUGCCAGCCGCCGCCGUAA
RNAcentral lists this ribosomal RNA (504 nucleotides) under uncultured bacterium. RNAcentral describes it as "partial 16S ribosomal RNA". It matches the Rfam family "Bacterial small subunit ribosomal RNA", at positions 29 to 523 of the family's 1533-position model. The record is from RNAcentral.